CGAGCUGUACACCUCACGACCAAGAAGCUUGUUUAAAGCAGAAAAACCAGUCAAAAUAAUAGGCUGAUCAAGCCUCUGUAUACAACGCAUUCCAAGCCGAGUAAGAUAGGCACCAAUUCCUACAGUUCUGCCAGUCACAUAAGUUAAGGUAAAGGUUUCUUUGUAUGCCCUAGAAUAUGCACUGGCAAUGGCCCCACUUCCAGAUAAAUUCUCUACCCCCAGGCCAUCCUCCUUCCCCACAAUGGCAUCGAUCACCCAUCUUGUUUCUCCAUUCUCCAGCUUCAACUCAUGUGCUAUCACUGAUGAUCUGAUCCGAGCAUGAUCCAAAGGACUUAAAUAUACAUACUGAAAGCCACGAUCAGGGAAAAGUUCAUCUGACCAACCAACUUUAAAGCAGGAUUUGACUUCAUCAGCAACCCCAAUACGGGCACCUGAAUUUGCUGCCAAAUAAAUAAGUGGAAUUUUCUUAUUGCAGGCAAGAUCAGUCACUGCAAGAAAGAAUGCAUCCUCUCUUUGACCAAAAGAACCUGCUUUGAAGGUCACGUCAUUUGCUACUACCAAAAUAGUCCUUCCUAAAGGGAACUCAGGAGUUAGUAUUUCCAUGCACCAAGCUACCAUGCCAAAAUCAUUGAGCCCAGCUGGACGCUGUGUGGAAAUAAGAGGUGUGCCCCAGCUACCAUUUUCAUUAGCAAAUAUGAGCUCUGUCACCUUUAGAACUUUACCCUCAGGUUUUUCCAUGCCCGGGAAUUGGGAUGCCCAUAUUUGUUCCAAGACUGUCUCAAAAGCCUGAGAACAAAAAAAUAUGUCAGCAACAUAAUUUGACCCAUCAGUUAUUUUUGUGCCAAAAAAAUAACUUCUGUUGUUUUCAAGUACAUAAUGCAGGACUCACCAAUGGAAAAUCAUAGCAGUAAGUGGUGCUGCUUUUCCUUGCCAUUAGACGUUUUCGAUCAAGAGCUCCCAACGGUUGAUAGUGUGCAUUUACUGGUACAAGAUGCAGAGGACCCUGUACAGAGAUUGAAUGGUACACCACUCUGUGCUUGCUAGUAUCCUCUAAUUCCCGGUAUAUCUGAAUAUUAUAUCACCAGCUAGUUAUUUUUCAGAUGAAAGUAAAUUAUAUAAACGAGUGAAAAGAAUUACAGGAGCAAGUUGGAGAAUGAGCCAUCGUCACAUCAAACACCAUGAAACUGGGAUCCUUUUCCAUGAAAACUAGAUGUUUUAAACUGGUGCAGGAACCAAAUCCAAUACAUUGUUUGAAUAAUACCCCAAAAGUUACCAUGGUGGCAAUUUUCACACCAUAACUAUAUUGGUGCUAAACCCAAAAUUUGCUGACUUGCAACAGCAGCGAUAAAGAUUCCCACACUCAAAACUCAAUAUCCCAAACUAAACAAACCAAAUAUAGCCAUUAUUUCAUCUGAAAACUAUGGGUUAUGCCGGUUAUAGCCCAGGAUAACCAAAUGACAAAUCAACAAACUUAUGGUUAACUAGGGGUAAGCAAACCAAUUGGAAUAACUGGAUUAUUUAACUGGAUCAAACUAAAGAAACCAAAUAGGUUGAUUUCUCAAGUAUGUUGGGUAGGUUUGAUUUGAAACUUUCAUAAUAUUUAUUGAUUCGAUAAUUCAAUUCAAUGUUUCCAUGAGUUUUAUGAAAUUUAAAUUUAAGCUGGGGGCAGAUUUGGGCCAGCAACCUAACCCUGGUAUGGGCCAAUUCAGUGUUUCAGAAAAAAAAGGGCCUAUCCAUAAUUACCCUUUAAAAAAUGCGAUUUACAGUUUGGGCUAAAAAAUAACCAUACAGAAUCAACCCAAGAACAGUCAAUUUUUAGUUGUCAGUCGAGUUCUUUUUGAAAAUUCCAGUUUUUGCAAACUCGGUAUGGUAGUGUUUUCUCGGGUGAAAAGUGACCCGAAUGAACUGAUGCUCACCCCUAAUAUUAGUUUAACCAAGGGUUGUCUUCUGAAAUAUACUACCUUCAGGACAUGCAACAGAUGAUAUAUAUACUUACAUGCACAGCGCAUGUGUGACCAGUCACAUUUGCAACGACAACCCUCCAAGCACCAUUUGCCUGUCCAGAUGACGCCAUCCAGAGCUUCACUUCCCACUCGCAGACGCCGAGUCUAUGCAUUCUCACACCAACAAAUGCAUGGAUUUCCCUAGCCAACCCUUCCAAGAUUGCC
This 2168-nucleotide long non-coding RNA is filed under the name Populus trichocarpa (black cottonwood). RNAcentral's name for it is "long non-coding RNA (PTRI_LNC000602)". The record is from RNAcentral. Lineage: Eukaryota; Viridiplantae; Streptophyta; Magnoliopsida; Malpighiales; Salicaceae.